This 459-nucleotide ribosomal RNA is filed under the name uncultured bacterium. RNAcentral's name for it is "partial 16S ribosomal RNA". It matches the Rfam family "Bacterial small subunit ribosomal RNA", at positions 338 to 795 of the family's 1533-position model. The record is from RNAcentral.
CCUACGGGAGACAGCAGUGAGGAAUAUUGGUCAAUGGGCGGGAGCCUGAACCAGCCAAGCCGCGUGAAGGAAGAAGGCGCCAGGCGUCGUAAACUUCUUUUGUCGGGGAACAAAGGGCGCCACGUGUGGCGUUGUGAGUGUACCCGAAGAAAAAGCAUCGGCUAACUCCGUGCCAGCAGUCGCGGUAAUACGGAGGAUGCGAGCGUUAUCCGGAUUUAUUGGGUUUAAAGGGUGCGUAGGCGGUCCGGAAAGUCAGCGGUAAAAGGCCGGGGCUCAACCCCGGCGAGCCGUUGAAACUGGCGGACUAGAGACGGCGAGAAGUACGCGGAAUGCGCGGUGUAGCGGUGAAAUGCAUAGAUAUCGCGCAGAACUCCGAUUGCGAAGGCAGCGUACCGGCGCCGGACUGACGCUGAGGCACGAAAGCGUGGGUAUCGAACAGGAUUAGAUACCCCUGUAGUC